GAAGGUAUUUUUGAAAGAAGAAUUGAAAAUAUGAAGUUAAAGUGUAAAAAGAAAAAAUUCAGCCACGUGGAACAACCCAAUUAACAGACUCGAUGAACUGGAGCACGCCGCAUGUCAAAUCAUGUUGACAUUGGUGCCACGCAGGAGGCCAUGCGGGCGAUCUGCGUGCCCAACAAUUUGAUGGCCCAGGUUCAAUCCCGGGUGCGUGAACAACCC
This 216-nucleotide long non-coding RNA is filed under the name Carica papaya (papaya). Its description in RNAcentral is "long non-coding RNA (CPAP_LNC003557)". Lineage: Eukaryota; Viridiplantae; Streptophyta; Magnoliopsida; Brassicales; Caricaceae. The record is from RNAcentral.